Molecule: ribosomal RNA, 505 nt
Filed under: Ophiognomonia leptostyla
Lineage: Eukaryota; Fungi; Ascomycota; Sordariomycetes; Diaporthales; Gnomoniaceae
Description: eukaryotic LSU rRNA
Rfam family: 5.8S ribosomal RNA (bases 186-339)
Source: RNAcentral
UCAUUGCUGGAACAAACGUCCUCACGGGCGCUACCCAGAAACCCUUUGUGAACAUUCCUACUUUGUUGCCUCGGCAUGGUUGGCUUCGAAUGAAGUCCCGCGUCAGCGGAGCAAACCGGCCGGUGGCCCCUUACAAACUCUUGUUUUUGUAGUAUCUUCUGAGGAAAGAAAAAUAAAUGAAUCAAAACUUUCAACAACGGAUCUCUUGGUUCUGGCAUCGAUGAAGAACGCAGCGAAAUGCGAUAAGUAAUGUGAAUUGCAGAAUUCAGUGAAUCAUCGAAUCUUUGAACGCACAUUGCGCCCGGUGGUAUUCCACCGGGCAUGCCUGUUCGAGCGUCAUUUCACCCCUCAAAACUUUUGGUUUUGGUGUUGGAGGAAUACUUUUCACCCGAGUACCCUCUGAAAUGUAGUGGCGGGCUCGCUAGAAAUUUGAGCGUAGUACCUUUUUACCUCGUUUGUAAGAUCUAGUGGGACUUCUUGCCAUAAAACCCCCCCAACUCUCUGA